UCUUUCAGCUCCCAGUGGCUCUUGGCAACCUUAGGUGUUUCUGCCUUUGUCUUGGGGUGUCUCUCCUUUGGAGACCAAAUUUCCAUAUUCUUCUAAUGAAUGAUCCCUGUGGUGUAUAGAGAAUGAUCUGUGAUUGCUGUACUUUUGGUUUCAAAUAGAUGGAGGCCAGCCUCCCACAGGAUGAGGCGUCUGGGGGUACACUUGAAAUAAACAUUCUACAGUCUGAGACAAGAGCAACCAACCAACCAACCAGCAGGACAACCAAUGAGAUCCUUGGUUCCAGAAUCCAUUCUGAAUAAGCACAAAUGGCAUAAAACAAUUUACCAAUA
Long non-coding RNA from Mastomys coucha (southern multimammate mouse), 329 nucleotides. RefSeq lists it as uncharacterized. The record is from RefSeq and is a predicted model, not a curated record. NCBI's taxonomy places the organism in Eukaryota, Metazoa, Chordata, Mammalia, Rodentia, Muridae. The transcript has 2 exons.